This is a non-coding RNA of Caenorhabditis elegans, 133 nucleotides long. NCBI's taxonomy places the organism in Eukaryota, Metazoa, Nematoda, Chromadorea, Rhabditida, Rhabditidae. The record is from Ensembl.
CAGCAGACACAUUGGCCACGCCUUCUUUUCAAUAUCGUUGAGUGCUCUUGGCUUUUUGCGCAUGUGUGCUCUACACGACGCCUUCUAGAGCCAAAAGAUUAGAGGAUUAGAGAAACGAGACAAUAUUGAAGAA